This is an RNA transcript of Parus major (Great Tit), 5151 nucleotides long. It is a transcript of the gene named Kruppel like factor 7, with no coding region annotated. The transcript is spliced from 5 exons. The record is from RefSeq and is a predicted model, not a curated record. NCBI's taxonomy places the organism in Eukaryota, Metazoa, Chordata, Aves, Passeriformes, Paridae.
UUUUAAAGUGUGACUGAAACAAAACAAAGCCAAAGGGACGCUGGAUCUAUCAUUGGUUGAUUUUCCUCCUCCUUUUUUUUUUUAUGACCAAAAACAACCCCCCACCCGAGCAAACAAACACACACAAAAGCAGAAAGAAAGGGUCUUGCUCAGCAGCAGCAUGGAUGUCUUGGCUAGUUAUAGUAUAUUCCAGGAACUCCAGCUUGUCCACGACACCGGCUACUUCUCAGCUUUGCCAUCCUUGGAGGAAAACUGGCAGCAGACAUGCCUGGAGUUGGAGCGAUACCUUCAGACUGAACCGCGGAAGAUCUCUGAGACCUUUGGUGAGGAUUUGGACUGCUUCCUUCAUGCCUCCUCAGCCCCAGAUGCAGAGGACAAUAUACGACGGCUGGACCCCAUCCUUUUGCCAGUGGAGACCAGUACAUGUGACAAAAGCGCCAACAUGGACAUUAUCCUCUCCCGUGACAAACUGCUGUCUGAGACGUGCCUCAGCUCACAGUCCACCAGCUCUUCCACAGAAGGCUACACAGCCGUCAACCAGGCCCAGCUCAAUGCAGUGACCUCAUUAACCCCUCCUUCCUCUCCGGAGCUCAGCCGCCACCUUGUAAAAACCCCACAGACUCUCUCAGCGGUGGAUGGCACAGUGACGUUGAAACUGGUAGCCAAGAAAACUUCACUCAGCUCUGUGAAAGUGGGUGUAGCAACAGCGACUGCGGGGACAAUAAAAAGCGGGCAAAGUGACAGUGAGCAAGGAGGUACAGGGACAGAAGCAUCCCCAGAAAACAAGAAGAGGGUUCAUCGCUGUCAAUUUAAUGGGUGCCGGAAAGUUUAUACAAAGAGCUCCCAUUUAAAGGCUCACCAGAGGACUCAUACAGGUGAGAAGCCUUACAAGUGCUCGUGGGAAGGGUGCGAGUGGCGUUUUGCACGGAGUGACGAGCUCACGAGGCAUUACAGAAAGCACACGGGUGCAAAGCCCUUUAAAUGCAACCAUUGUGACAGGUGUUUUUCCAGGUCGGAUCACCUUGCCCUCCACAUGAAGAGACACAUCUAAAUAUCAGUCAUCUUGGCAUGGAUGUCAUCCGGGCUAAGUGUUGUGAGAUGAAAGUGGAACUGAAGUUACAACGUGCUACCUUAACACGAGAAGAGAACUUGAUCCCAUGUAAUCCUCUGUACAGGGACCACAUGCUCACAGUGUCAUGCACCCAGUUAUACUUCAAUACCUACAUCGGUUCUUUUAUGCCUUGCCCCAGCUGGAUGGGAGAAGAUGCAGGCGAGGAAAUGGUAUAGAGGUGAAGUCAGUGAAAAAGAACAAUUAUUUACAGUACUUCAUCCCUCUUGGAUUUGUUUCCUGUUUUUGCCAAUGGAAAUCAAAGAAAACAGAGGAGGCUUCCCUGCAGGACGGCAGUAGGAGGGGCUUAUCUAACUUGCUUCUCAGUGCAACUCAGUAGAAGAAUAUGGCGUCUUGAAGUUGCAUAUUUGUAGCACUAACUUUCUUUCUAAAUAGAUGGGGGGAAAACAAUGACCUAGAAAACCAAAUCCCAGUUUGGUAGCCAAAAUUAACCUCUUGGUUUUUUUGUUCUUUCUCUGAGAAUUCCUAAUGUUCAGUGCAUCAGACUUCUCACAGACACUUUGACCUGUCUUGGUUUUGGUUCUUCUUCCUAGAACUGAGCUAUUGAGAUCCUUUUAAGUCAAUACCAGUGGCCUUAAUGGCAGUAGACUGUGGAGUGACACUUGUGACACAAACAUCCUCUUUUUGGCCUGAGUUUAUGUAGACUUCACGGAGGAUUAUAUUUUUGUUUGGUUGUUGGUGGGCUUUUUUGGUUUUUUUGUUUUGUCUUGUUUUGGGUUUUUUGGCUAUUGCACAACAUAUGCACUAGGGACUCUGGAAGCUGCUGCCACGAUGGCUAAGUAGCCAAGGGAUAAACCCCUGAGAUACAGCACCUAAUAUCUCUGUAAGCCUCACUUUAUUGCCAUAGCUAGGACUUCUUUUUUAAUUUUUGAACAAAAAACUUUAAAAGCUUGUUUGGAAGCUUAAACUUUUUUUCUCUUUUCUCCACAAACAAGUGAUCUUCAGAACUCCUUGUCUUCACCUGGAUAUCUGUCUGGGACUGGCCACACAGGCAUGACUACAGGAUUCCUUCCAUAUCAUCUGCAGGGACCAGCCAGAUAUUACGGAAACAAGUUUGCUAGUCUGGAAGAUCCAUGUGAUGUCUCAGAAAUGGUUUCCAGGACCUGAAAUCUAAGCCAACAGAUUCCUACAAAGGUGAACUUUUUUUUUCAUUCAUUCUUAUUUUCCUCAGACUUUUUGGAAAUGCUGUUUUUCUCGUGGUAGCACAUUUUUGUUUAAUGUGGGAAACACUGACCGAACACAGAUGGAGAAGAAUUUGAAUGCAAGAGGAUCCUUCAAUCCUUGCUUUCAGAAUUGUUUUAACUUCAGGUAUAAAAAAAUUAACUCAUUACUAGGGUGUAUAGCUGAAAUGGAGUUGAUCAAUGUGAUUGUUGCAGUGAUUGAGUCUAUCUUAGCUGUGACCUUUCUGAUAUCUACAGAAUCAGCUUUCUCCCUCAUUUUUAUCUGAACCUAGACAAUUUGGGGUUUAUAUCUAAUAUAAAGGUUGCUCCUCCUAUUUAACACACUGUCUGUAUACAAAAGAGGUGGUAAUUGGUACAUUUGACAAAGCUGAUUAAGUCCAACUUCCUUAAGUGUUUCCCUUCCUCUUCUCUUAAUAUAUGUCAAAAUCUUUAAAUUUAAAAAAAUUAAUAAGAGGAAAAUUUUGUAAAUAAUUUAAUGUUAUGAGGCCAGCACUCAGUGGAUCAAGGGCUUUUACUCUUGAUUUCAUUCAGGACUUGGCACAUUCUGUCAUUCCAUCCAGUAGGACUGUUUUUGAGCUUUCAUAUCCGGGGUGAUGCUCUAACCCAGAACUUCUAAAGUACUUUUUGCUGAUUUCAGAUAGAAUUGCACUUGUAAAGAUAUCUACAUACAAAGAAAAAACCCAAUGCUUGACAAUAACUAUUUAACUCUGUCUUGAAAAAUGGAAAUAUUUUUCUCCCAAGAUAUUACAACUACUCAUUGACAAGUCUUGCCUGUCUUUCAUUAGCAUUUAACCUACUAUUCAUGAUUGAUCUUUUCCAGAUCAAACUUGGAUAGUUUUCUUCCUUUUGUCACACUUGUGUCUCUUUUUAUUAAUAGUUAUGGGAUGACUACUGCAGUCUUUCUCCUCCACAGCUCUGCACAAGCUUCAGUAGCAAGACUUAGCAUAGUAAGGACUGUAGGAUCUGGCCUACCAGGUACUAUGAUCUGUAUUGUAAAGCUGAGAAUUUCCUCCUCUCUUAGAGGAAGAAGUCUUGAGAAUACUUGUGCUAUAUAAGUUAUAUAUAUAAUGAUAUAGUUGUAUAUAUAAAUUAUAUACAUAAAAAUGUCAAAAUGGGGAGUAGACUGCCUUUAUCACCUCAAGAAUGAGUUUCCCUACCUGAAAACUUUCAAAUGCAGGCAUCAUUUUAGAAACAGGGUUUUAUAGUUUUCCUUAAUGGUUGUUGAUUGCAUUUUUGGUGUAAUAAUUGAAGUUGGAACUCUGCGAUUUUCAAAAUGAAAGCUUUGAUGAUUUUUUUUUUUAAGUGCUUUGAUCCUAACUUCUAUAUACUGCCAGAAAACAGGUUCUCUACCCUGUCUCUGUGUGGGUGUGGAUGUACAACAGUAUACUGUAUAUACCUACACAGAAGAGCAAACCGAGCUACUGACUUACAGUUUGUAGUAGCCAACCGUGCCUAUUGCUUUCAUUUAGGGAGGGCACUUGCUGUUGCCACUGCAUUUUAGGAAUCAUGUCAGCUCCUGUAGGAAAGUUUUCAACAGUGCUGGGAAAUACAUGUUGCUGUGUACUGUGAAUGAGUAGGCUGCAAAUUUGGGGAUUGGGAGGGGAGGUGGGAAGGGUGGGGGAUGAGGGCUUCGCAUGUACACACUAAAGGGAACUAGAAUGGACAGAAACAUGGCAAUUUUAGCCUUUAUUGUUGGGCUUUCGGGGAAAUUAAAAGCUAACACGCAGUCCCUGGAAGGCCUGAUGGCUGAAGGGCUGAUCUUUAUGUUUUGCAACGUAUGUUUUACCCGUCGCUCUGUAUUUAAAUCCCCAGACCUGUCAGAUUCUGGAAGUAGAUCAAAACACUGGUUUAAACACUACUUUGCUACCAAGGCCAUGUCUCUACCAGGGAAGCUGCCCUACAUUAGAGUCAGUCUAGCUAAAUCCCUUUGUAGCUGCACCUGUUGUGUGAUUGCCUGGAUUGUUUGCAUUGGCAUCCUGUGCAGUUAAGCUGAUGUGUAAGAAAAGCUUCAGCUAAUUAAGAUACCUCUACAGAAAGGUUCUUGCACCAGUUUAAGUACCUGGUUUUGAAAUCACUGCAUAUAAACCAUAACAGCUUUUCUCUUAGAAACAAGGCCUUAGUUUUGCAUAUCUGCUUAUCUUAUUAGUUGAAAAAAUAAUAAUGCAGGCUGAGAUUUUUUUUUUUUUCAUUGCAAAGUGACCUGUUUUCCCUCUUGUUCUUUGAAACUUUUCUUGCUGUCUGCCACACAUUAGAUUUUUGUUUGGGAAAUUUUUCUUUAAUAACAACAAAAUGCAUGAAUGCUCCCUAUUUAAAUAAAAAACAACAAAAAAAAAAACCAAACAAAAACAAACAAAAAAAAACCAACAUUGCUUGAAGGACUUUCAUUUUGCACUAUAAUUUUUCUUUUACCAGAUGUGUCUGACAAGUGCAUUUCGGAGAUGCCCUCGGUCACGUUCUCUCAGGCCUACUCUGGUAUUUCUAAUAUAUCACAGAAGUACCCAAUCUUGUAGCCCUCAGUUCUGCCUUUUUUUGACAUUUUAUUUUUUUUAAGCUUUUUAUAUAUAUAUAUAUAUAUAUAUAUAAAUAUAUUACUUUGUCAGUUUUUUUGCUGUACAAAAAGUCUUAAGAUUUAAAAAUAUUAUUUGUAUUAUAUGAUGGUGGUAUGUUAAUGUUACAAAAUUAUUAAUGAAGAAAAAAUUUAUUUUUGUUACUGGUCUGUUUCAUAAUUCUUUUUUAAAUUGGUAUAUUGUAAGAUAUCUAUGCAAAAAUGUUAUGUGACGCAUUUUUAUUUAAGAAUGUAAUAUGUGUAAUAAACAGUAGAAUGUGUUUGGCCCGACAGUA